RNAcentral lists this unclassified non-coding RNA (190 nucleotides) under Basidiomycota sp. RNAcentral's name for it is "partial contains small subunit ribosomal RNA, internal transcribed spacer 1, and 5.8S ribosomal RNA". The stretch from base 1 to 47 matches the Rfam family "Eukaryotic small subunit ribosomal RNA", at positions 1785 to 1831 of the family's 1831-position model. Lineage: Eukaryota; Fungi; Basidiomycota. The record is from RNAcentral.
AAAGUCGUAACAAGGUUUCCGUAGGUGAACCUGCGGAAGGAUCAUUAACAAAAUAACAUGUAAAUGUAAUAUUUAUAUAUAUAUACGAGCAAUGCAGUCUCUUUUGACUGGCAUAUAAAAGACACAACUUUGUAGUAAUAAAAACAUGAAAAUUUAUAUACAACUUUUAACAAUGGAUCUCUUGGCUCUC